RNAcentral lists this ribosomal RNA (296 nucleotides) under uncultured bacterium. RNAcentral describes it as "partial 16S ribosomal RNA". The record is from RNAcentral.
AAGAUACUGCUCCGAGACGCGCUGAUAGUCAUACCCCGGGUGGUUCCCAAAUCAUACCCCACAUCCUCCCUGCACCCGCGGGGGUUUCCCAACACCNACCCNACCACGCANCCACCCACACCACGACACACGCACAUNACCGCCACACGCACCACAUCCACAGACACACACACCCCNACCCACCCNCCCCACCACACCACNCCCACCCCCCCACCCAACCUCCCCGNAACCGCNCCACACCCGCAACCGCNCACCACCACACACCCACACCACACACGCGCACCGACGAACAACAA